Molecule: ribosomal RNA, 497 nt
Filed under: uncultured bacterium
Lineage: Bacteria
Description: partial 16S ribosomal RNA
Rfam family: Bacterial small subunit ribosomal RNA
Source: RNAcentral
GAUGAACGCUGGCGGCGUGCCUAAUACAUGCAAGUCGAGCGAGCAGACGAGGAGCUUGCUCCUCUGACGUUAGCGGCGGACGGGUGAGUAACACGUGGAUAACCUACCUAUAAGACUGGGAUAACUUCGGGAAACCGGAGCUAAUACCGGAUAAUAUAUUGAACCGCAUGGUCCAAUAGUGAAAGACGGUUUUGCUGUCACUUAUAGAUGGAUCCGCGCCGCAUUAGCUAGUUGGUAAGGUAACGGCUUACCAAGGCGACGAUGCGUAGCCGACCUGAGAGGGUGAUCGGCCACACUGGAACUGAGACACGGUCCAGACUCCUACGGGAGGCAGCAGUAGGGAAUCUUCCGCAAUGGGCGAAAGCCUGACGGAGCAACGCCGCGUGAGUGAUGAAGGUCUUCGGAUCGUAAAACUCUGUUAUUAGGGAAGAACAAAUGUGUAAGUAACUAUGCACGUCUUGACGGUACCUAAUCAGAAAGCCACGGCUAACUACGUG